RNAcentral lists this ribosomal RNA (413 nucleotides) under uncultured bacterium. RNAcentral describes it as "bacterial SSU rRNA". It matches the Rfam family "Bacterial small subunit ribosomal RNA", at positions 505 to 916 of the family's 1533-position model. The record is from RNAcentral.
GUGCCAGCCGCCGCGGUAAGACGAGGGACCCUAGCGUUGUUCGGAAUCAUUGGGCGUAAAGCGGGUGUAGGUGGCUUUGUAAGUCAGGUGUGAAAUCCCUGGGCUCAACCCAGGACGUGCAUUUGAUACUGCGAAGCUUGAGUGCCGGAGAGGUUACUGGAAUACCUGGUGUAGUGGUGAAAUACGUAGAUAUCAGGUGGAACACCGGAGGCGAAGGCGGGUAACUGGCCGGACACUGACACUCAGACCCUAAAGCGUGGGGAUCAAACAGGAUUAGAUACCCUGGUAGUCCACGCCGUAAACGAUGGAUACUUGUUGUUGGAGGUAUUGACCCCUUCAGUGACGCAGCUAACGCGGUAAGUAUCCCGCCUGGGGAGUACGGUCGCAAGAUUAAAACUUAAAUAAAUUGACGG